AUAUCAUAAUUCUUUUUGUUCCAAUUUUGCAAUAAACAGCACAGACUAAACAUUCGCUAAAAUAAGACCAUGCAUGUGUCCCCAGACCUAGUUCUUUAACCAUGUAGGUCUGCUCUUAGAAAUGCCGGUGAUACAU
This is a small nucleolar RNA of Sorex fumeus (smoky shrew), 136 nucleotides long. RefSeq annotates it as small nucleolar RNA SNORA72. Lineage: Eukaryota; Metazoa; Chordata; Mammalia; Eulipotyphla; Soricidae. The transcript has a single exon. The record is from RefSeq and is a predicted model, not a curated record.